AGCAGCCGCGGUAAUUCCAGCUCCAAUAGCGUAUAUUAAAGUUGUUGCAGUUAAAAAGCUCGUAGUUGAAUUUCGGGGUCAGUAGGUUGGUCGUGCCACGGGUAUGUACUGGUCUCACUGAUUCCUCCUUCCUGAUGAACCGUAAUGCCAUUAAUUUGGUGUUGCGGGGAAACUGGACUGUUACUUUGAAAAAAUUAGAGUGUUUAAAGCAGGCUAACGCUUGAAUACAUUAGCAUGGAAUAAUGAAAUAGGACGUUCGAUCCUAUUUUGUUGGUUUCUAGGAUUGACGUAAUGAUUAAUAGGGAUAGUUGGG
RNAcentral lists this ribosomal RNA (313 nucleotides) under uncultured Glomus. RNAcentral's name for it is "SSU rRNA". It matches the Rfam family "Eukaryotic small subunit ribosomal RNA", at positions 569 to 886 of the family's 1831-position model. Lineage: Eukaryota; Fungi; Glomeromycota; Glomeromycetes; Glomerales; Glomeraceae. The record is from RNAcentral.